Long non-coding RNA from Osmerus eperlanus (European smelt), 1642 nucleotides. RefSeq lists it as uncharacterized. The transcript is spliced from 3 exons. The record is from RefSeq and is a predicted model, not a curated record. Lineage: Eukaryota; Metazoa; Chordata; Actinopteri; Osmeriformes; Osmeridae.
CUUGUCUCUCUGCCUCUCACAGGUGCAGUACAAUGAUGGGCAGAAUGGCAAGGAGUUCAUGACCUACCUGACCCUCUCGCCUGUGCAGAUGACGUUCCAUGGCAUUGGGAGCUCCCUCCAAGCCAGCCACGACCAGGCGGCUCUAAGUGCCUUGAAACAGCUGUCGGAGCAGGGUCUGGACACGGUGGACGGCCCUAUCAAAAGCGGUGAGCCGUGUGGGAGGGAGGACGGACACUGACCAGACUAACUCAGGCACCACCACUCAGGUCUGCAAGGAUUCAAAGGCUGUCGUCUAGGAGCUGCCCCCCCACCCACCCCUUCCUCCUCCUUCUUUCCCCACCUUCCCCACUCCCACACCACCCCCCCACCACCUACCCAGGACUGGCCAAACACCCCCCCCCCCCCCACGACCGCCGCUGUAUCCUGCAACACCUGUCAACAUGCAAUAGGGUGGAUGUGUACCGAGAAAUGACCGACUAAAUAAAAACACCAUUACCCGAGUCUAUGUGAAGACAACACUAUCCUAACACAUUACAUUUCUUAAUAAUUUCAAUGGAGUCAAAGAUCAUCAAAAGAAAAAAAGAACAAGCUAAAAUGUCAAAUCAAUCAGUGAAUGAGAUUAAAAAUGCAUGGUACUGUUUCAGAUCACGGGGAAUCCAAAGUAAAUAUACAUAGACAGUUUCCCCUUUGAAUAGAUGUUUUGUUGGUAUGGUUAACACAAAUUUGUACAUCUUGCCAUUGAUGCAAAGGAAACCUUUUAGGGGAGAAAACAGACUUUACAAGGGUAUUAUGUUUCUUUUUUUGUUCCUUUUUUUUGUUUUGUUUUUCAUUAAUCUAACAAUGCUUGAGUACUGUAUUUCAAAUUAACCAAUGCCAGUGCUGUGAAAGUAGUAGUUGUCUUCAUAUAUCGUCACCCAGCUUACUUUUCAUGCUGAUAAUGAGUUCAUCUAUCUAUAUGGAUGUGUAUGACUUGCAGAAAUAUCAUAUACUGUACUGAAAAAUAACACUAAGAAAAGAUCAUGUGGAGAAAAAGAUCCAAACUGGUGUUAGACGUAAUCAGUAGAAGUGGAAAACUGCCAGAGUCGAGGUUGGGCCAAUCUUUGAGUCCUCCGGUUCUGCCUGUCCUCAUGUCCCCCAUCUCUCAUGUAGCACCACUGGAAAUGGUCCAUUCAACAUCAAUGCAGAAUAGCUUUUGGAAGCUAUGUUGAGAUCAUACCUGCGUAACUACAAAAUAAAAAACGACCUGGAUUCUGGAAAGCCGCUACAGCAUUCUGGAAUGAACUCAUUCUAGAAUACUGCAGUGAUGUUUUAGAAUGGAUGGAUCUAUUGAGGGCAACCGGGGGAACAGGACAGUCCAGUGAUUCUACAUCAGAGGAUCUCUCCCCCACAGUUUUGUCGAUCACACCUACACCCAUUGUGUGUGUUGUAUUGACCGCCAAGGCAUCAACUGGGUGCUUUUAAUCCCUGCGUUCUGAAGCACGGACGAGGGCGUCUUGCUCCGGGAAGGUUACUACUUGAAUCACUCGUUCUCUCACAUGGACGACGUGAGGAUAUCUUCGCUGCGAGUGUCAAUGUGUACGCAAUUAAGAAGUCUCUGUUCCAGAAAUGCAGUAAAAUCACCUCAGUUCAUGUUGAAAACAAA